UUUAGAGAAUCUGAGCCUUAUUUUUCUGUCAAGUCACCUCUUCAGGAGGAGCAUAAGGAGGGAGAGGAAGAGGUGCUUUUUCCUAAUCAGGCUAUUAGGCUUUGGUCACAUCUUAAUAAUGAGCUAUCUAACUAGGACCACCUCAGGGGAGACUGUUAAACUUGGGUCACAUCUUGGUAAUGAACCACUUGACUAGGACCAACCGCCUCCUUAAACCCAAGGAGAUUGAAUAGAUUGGAUUUGAG
This 245-nucleotide unclassified non-coding RNA is filed under the name Hevea brasiliensis (rubber tree). Lineage: Eukaryota; Viridiplantae; Streptophyta; Magnoliopsida; Malpighiales; Euphorbiaceae. The record is from RNAcentral.